CUGGGAUGUACCUUCAAGAGGCAGUGCUGACCUUCAGCCAUCUGAGACUUCCAAUUGUGUAACUAAUUAACUUUAUUUUCAGAGGCAUCACCCUUUGGCUGGUGUUUGGAGGAUAUGCAGGACUUUCGUGUCAUUUUGAGCCAAGAAUGGUUACAUGUUGUGUAUCUUCUCAGCAGCAGAUCUACACUGAUAUAUUCAGCUGAUAUGUGAUCAUGGAAAAGGUGCGGUCCAUCUCAGGCGGUGAUUGGUCGGUUAGACUUCAGCUCAGCAGGUGAAAGGCUGGGUCAGAGUUCUUCCCCCCCCAAAAAUCAGCUGAGAAGUAAUGUCACAGCAGGGGCACGGGAAUCCCAGCUCCUUCCUGUUCCAGCCGGCCAUGUCAGCCUUUUGUUCUUGGCAUAUGUUCAGGUGUUUGAUUGGUAACAUUUUGUUUUUUGUUAACCCUCCUGUUAUGUUCAUGGUCAGAUUGACCCUUUUCAAAGUUCAAAAA
Notolabrus celidotus (New Zealand spotty) is the source of this 487-nucleotide long non-coding RNA. RefSeq lists it as uncharacterized. The record is from RefSeq and is a predicted model, not a curated record. NCBI's taxonomy places the organism in Eukaryota, Metazoa, Chordata, Actinopteri, Labriformes, Labridae. The transcript has 3 exons.